This 477-nucleotide ribosomal RNA is filed under the name Triticum aestivum (bread wheat). RNAcentral's name for it is "partial small subunit ribosomal RNA". Lineage: Eukaryota; Viridiplantae; Streptophyta; Magnoliopsida; Poales; Poaceae. The record is from RNAcentral.
AUGACGACGGCCUCGAGGCUGUCCUACAAGAACGCCACCGUCGCCCUGUGCGCCAUCAACGUCCUCGCGGUGGCGCUCCUCCUGCGCAGCCACUUCUCGUCCUGGCCGCGGAUCGCCGGCGGCCACCGGUUCGAUUCAGCACUGGGAAAGCUGAGUGGGAAGACCGGGUUCUACUCUUUGGCAGCUCAGCUACGGUACAUAUGGGAGUCCGAAGAGUUGCGCCGUGCCAUGGAGCCUGUGGAUUUGAUUAGGAGAGUGAAAGAAAUUGAACAAGAAGCUUAUGGAGAGCCUGGCAUGUCAGCAACGCAAGAAGGGACGGCUGCUGUUGACUUGUCGAAAAGGUUGAAAGAUUUACGGCAAGGGAAUGACGGCAGCAGCCAAAGAGCACUGGAGGAGUGGCGCAAGCGGAAGAUGGAGCGGGCGAGGCAGCGGGCGAUCGAGAAGGACGGGAUGAUGCCGGGCGCAAAAACACCGUGA